AGUGAACGCUGGCGGUAGGCCUAACACAUGCAAGUCGAACGGCAGCACAGUAAGAGCUUGCUCUUACGGGUGGCGAGUGGCGGACGGGUGAGGAAUACAUCGGAAUCUACUUUUUCGGGGGGGAUAACGUAGGGAAACUUACGCUAAUACCGCAUACGACCUACGGGUGAAAGCAGGGGAUCUUCGGACCUUGCGCGAUUGAAUGAGCCGAUGUCGGAUUAGCUAGUUGGCGGGGUAAAGGCCCACCAAGGCGACGAUCCGUAGCUGGUCUGAGAGGAUGAUCAGCCACACUGGAACUGAGACGCGGUCCAGACUCCUACGGGAGGCAGCAGUGGGGAAUAUUGGACAAUGGGCGCAAGCCUGAUCCAGCCAUACCGCGUGGGUGAAGAAGGCCUUCGGGUUGUAAAGCCCUUUUGUUGGGAAAGAAAAGCAGCAGGUUAAUACCCCGCUGUUCUGACGGUACCCAAAGAAUAAGCACCGGCUAACUUCGUG
This 492-nucleotide ribosomal RNA is filed under the name uncultured bacterium. RNAcentral's name for it is "partial 16S ribosomal RNA". It matches the Rfam family "Bacterial small subunit ribosomal RNA", at positions 29 to 507 of the family's 1533-position model. The record is from RNAcentral.